ACACUCCUGCGGGAGGCAGCAGUGGGGAAUCUUGCGCAAUGGGCGAAAGCCUGACGCAGCCAUGCCGCGUGAAUGAUGAAGGUCUUAGGAUUGUAAAAUUCUUUCACCGGGGACGAUAAUGACGGUACCCGGAGAAGAAGCCCCGGCUAACUUCGUGCCAGCAGCCGCGGUAAUACGAAGGGGGCUAGCGUUGCUCGGACUUACUGGGCGUAAAGGGAGCGUAGGCGGACAUUUAAGUCAGGGGUGAAAUCCCGGGGCUCAACCUCGGAAUUGCCUUUGAUACUGGGUGUCUUGAGUAUGAGAGAGGUGUGUGGAACUCCGAGUGUAGAGGUGAAAUUCGUAGAUAUUCGGAAGAACACCAGUGGCGAAGGCGACACACUGGCUCAUUACUGACGCUGAGGCUCGAAAGCGUGGGGAGCAAACAGGAUUAGAAACCCGAGUAGUCCCAUGAU
Molecule: ribosomal RNA, 452 nt
Filed under: uncultured organism
Description: partial 16S ribosomal RNA
Rfam family: Bacterial small subunit ribosomal RNA
Source: RNAcentral